Molecule: small nuclear RNA, 107 nt
Filed under: Castor canadensis (American beaver)
Lineage: Eukaryota; Metazoa; Chordata; Mammalia; Rodentia; Castoridae
Source: RNAcentral
GUGCUGGCUUAGGCAGCACAUGUACUAAAAUUGGAAUGAUACAGAGAAGAUUAGCAUGGCCCCUGAGCAAGGAUGCUAUACAAAUUCCUGAAACAUUCCAUAUUAAA